Molecule: long non-coding RNA, 4237 nt
Organism: Bombus terrestris (buff-tailed bumblebee)
Lineage: Eukaryota; Metazoa; Arthropoda; Insecta; Hymenoptera; Apidae
Exons: 3
Source: RefSeq, a predicted model, not a curated record
UCAUUUUCUCCCUUACCUUUUUACACGUUGAAUUUUUUCCAAAAAUCCAUAAAAGAGGGUUAUCAGGCAUUGGAUAUAAAUGGUGGUUAUAGAUCUUGAAGUGUCAGUUUUACAUUGUACACCACACACUGCUACUACACUACUGCAAUAAAUUUAUGAAAUCCGUUAUAAAAUUCCAACUAAUCAAAAAUUAAUUUAUACGCAAAUAAUAAAAGUACUAUCUCCAAAAAUUCGAGAACGUACGGAUUCAAAUAUCGAUUCUCUGCGCGAUGUAUCACUCAUCGAUACGAUCACAGCGCCACAAGUGUCAAAACGCAGUAUCAUCGUUUAUUUUGCGCAGGUGCAUCGUGUAUGUGAUUAGUCAUUGUACUUUUUGUGAAGCAAUUAAUAGUAUAAGACUAAAAUUGGAGAAUUCAAUAGCGUGAGGUAAUAAUGCAGUGUGUAAGUGUAAAUAGUGCAGAGCUAUUAACAACGAAAUUAUGGAACGGAAUCUUAAAUAUAACAAAUUCCUCCAAAAAUCUCAACGACGAGACUAUUGCAUUGUUCUUUGUAAUGAUGCAAUCAUACUAAAUAAUGCUAUAUAAACGUACAUUUGAGUGGCUGCAUCUGUUAAUUCAAAUAUUUAAAGCCACUUCAUUAAGAAAACCAUAUACAUUAUUCUGUACUUAUUAGUGUUAAAGUAACUGAGAUAUUUGCAUAAAAUUAUUCUAUUAGUGACAUAAAUUACGAAAUCUUGUGACAAGAAAAGGAAUUACAUGUCACAGCUACCCUUCGUUUCAUCUGUUCUACAAUACAUACAUAUAUUCAUCUAUUAUACAUAUACAUAUAUGUUUAAUUCGUACGUUUUGAGAUUUAGGGUAUGAGUAUGAAUAAUAAAUUAAUAUACCAUAGGUCAAGUAAAAUAUAUAUCAAAAAUAUACCUUCAUUUCAUUCUCAAUAUUGCUCGUUGAAUUUUACUUGGUCAAAUGAAAUUAAUAAAUGUACAUAUAUUUCUCUUCUAAUAUGACCAUAAUUUCGAACUCACUCAUUUACUUUUAUCUUUCGUACUGUUCACUGUUUGAAGACAUUUCUCUCAAAGUGUUUUGAAGAAUUUACCGAUUCGUAUUCGGAUACGCUUGACUUAACGCCGAGUAAAACAUUCCCACCACUGUUUCGCAUGACGAAACGUAAUAUGGAGAACCAUUCAGUUGUCGGGGAGAUGUAUCAAUUCGCGUCGCAAAACCUAUUAACUGCGUAAUAAUUUGUUCCGUCACUAGUUUGCUGCCUUUAUAUACUACUAUUAGGUUUGUUUAAUUAUCACACAUCCACUUAUUCGAGUAUUAAAGACUAUUAUGAUAAAAUUAAAUAACUUUUUCUAUUUUUGUUUGUUCUUUCUUUUUGACGUAUAUUUUACUGUUAAUCUUACUGAUAGUUUGUAUUAUUUGCUUUUGAAAUAGGUUUUGAGUUUGUUUAUCGUUUCGUAUUAAUUCAUAAAUGAUCAAGAAUGUUUCAUUUAUCAUUUUAUUGUUUAUUAUUUUAUUGUUUAAUCAUUUUAUUGCUUCAAUUCAUUAUUCUGAAAUAGAUCUUUGAAUAGUCAUAGUAGGUUAUGAAUAAUAUCUUGCUGUACUUCCCGCGCGAAUUCUCUAUAGUAGCGUCAUCUCCUGAUUUUUUUCAAUAACUUUUAUUAUUUCUAUAAUGCGACGCCAUUACAAACAUGUUUAACUUUUGACGCGUUAUAUUAUCGUGCUCUUCAAGUAAGUUUAACCGAGCAACUUUUAUUUGUUGCAAAAGUUUUGUUAAAAAAUUAGUUACAUUGUAUUUACAAUAUUUUUAAAUAUUUGAGAUAUUUUCUAAUAUUCAUAUCUAUUUUAAGGACAUAUUCCAUUUGUCCCAGACAUAUUCCAUUUUCGUAAUAUUGGUUAUGGUACUUUGAAAUAAUAUAUGUAAAUAACAAUCAUUUCUCUUUACAAAAGCUAAUAUGAAUAUAGUAAAAUAUGAAAAUAAAAUAUAGUACUCUUUUUUCUACUAAUACAGCGUUUUUUUAGUAAAUGUUUGUUAUCGUGACCGCGCGCAAUGCGGUCUGUAUAAUCUAAUUAUAAUAAUCAUAUGCGAAAUUAGAGUCAGUGUUUGUUCGCCGAUUAUUACAUAAACGAGCAUGUAGUUUUUUAUUUUUCGUUUUUUGUAUAUACAUUUUUUAAAUUUACAUUUUCGGCAUUAGAGUCAGUGCUUAACAGGAUACAGCCUCUCCACAACCUUAACAAUGUUUUCCACUACCUCGGCUUCUCCCUGUUCUCUGGAUCUGAUGGUGCUUUAAAAGCGAAGAAUGAAGUCCGAUAACUCUUCCUCGAUGACCUCUGUUAUGACCGCUUCUGGGCUAUUGCAGCAUCGAUGACGAUGACGAAUUUCUCCGCAUUGUGAGUCGCAUAUUUUUUUAUCCCUUCAUUCACUCAAUCAUGUCAUAGAACGAAAGGUCCGAAUCAACAUGGAUAACUGAUUGUAUUACGUAGAACUUUUAGCAAGCAUAAUAAUCGGGGGUAUCUUUUAUAUCUAUGAGUAGUAAUAUUUCCUUACUCUGUGUUUUAUUUAUUAGCUCAAGUAGGUCUUUUUGCACAACGAGAUUUUUUAUAUUCGUAAAAUAACAUUGAUGAUUAAAAUUUUAUAUCGGCAAUAUCAAUAUAAUGUUCAAUUAGCGUGAAUGAUAUAGUAUCGGUAAUUUACUUGUAUAUCUGUAGUUGAAAAUAUAUCAAACAAAGUUAUACUUUUUAAAUUCAAGUGUAUCCGAAAUAGAUAUUUGCAGAAAUCAAAUAUUUAUAGAAAUAUGAAUUAAGCAUCUAAUAGUUGAGAAUACUUGAGCAAUAAAAAUUACAAUGAUCACACAAUAAUAAAAGCAAUAUAAUUAUUAAUAAUUGUUAUUUCCAUUUUGUAUUUCAUAGUAAUAGUUUGCACAAUUUAAUUGUUUGAUUUUCGUAUUAUGAAUCUAAGUACAAUUCAAGAUACGAUUCUACUAAAGUUCAUGCUGCUACUAAUUCUUUUUGUACAAGAAAUAUUAAAGUUUGGAUAAUAUUAAGUUUUAUAUGCAAUAUAUCAACAAAUUUUGAACACUGCUUUUAUAUUUUCGAAAAUUAGAUUUGAAAACACAUUCAGCUGAGAUAAUUUGCGGUAGACAUUUCAUGUAUACCGCGUCUGUAACGUAAAUAUAACUAAAGCAUGGUUAAAAAUAAUCGAUCGUAUAGUUAUGUAAAUGUCAAUAGAAAAAUUCAUCGAUAUCUACAAAUAGUAUUUUUACAGUGAUCAAUGGUAGCUUUCGAGCUAACACUAAACAUAGAUUGAUAGGUCUGAAAAGCAGCAAAACAUCUAAUAGUCUGUACAUAUGAAAAUAAAAACACACGAAAUUUCGGUAAAUAAAAAAUAUAUUCGUUGUUUUUAGGAAUAAUUAGAAAUUAAAAUCUGUUAAAAUCUUAGCCCCUUGUAUUAUCGCAAGAACGAAGUAAAAACUACAAAGAUAUAAGAUUAUUCAUUUGAUCGAAUUUUACCUUCGUUUCGGAUAAAACAUGCCUGAGACAUUCUAAAAGCUUUUAUUUUUAUUUUAAUUAUCUAAUUUAUCGAAAACGGCGCUAAUCUUCCACUACUAAUACAUUUGUCGAAUUACUUCUACUAUACUAGUACUAAUAAUGUAAUUAAUAUAGUAAUAAUAAAUGAUACUAAACAUAUAGAUAAAAUAUUAAUCGCCGAAAUGAUAGUACGUAGUCUUUUAUCGCAUCAAGGGUAGGAAAGAUAAUUCGAAUCGCCUCUCUGAUUGUAGCACUCGUUGAAACACGAAUUGCGACUACCACCUCCUUCACUUGCAACCACUUUAAACCUCGUUCUGCGAUCGCUUGUUCUAUGGAAAAGGGAAAGAAAUUUCUUUCACGAAACUCUCGUUAGUUCGUGACAAGCACCGAGUAGGCGAUGCGAUAUACUCUUAGUAUUUGACUCAGCUUUUCCCUAUAUCCAAGUCAUCCUACAUAUUCGGCUUUUCCACGAAAUAUCGAAACACGAUCGCUGUCACAUACAGAAAUACCUGCUUCUGGAAAUUUCCUUGAUAAAGUUGACAAAUUUAAGAUCUUUCCUUCAUUCCGAAAAAAUAGCUGUUCUACUUCUGCUUCUAUAGAGCACAAAAUUCUAACUGGGUUCAUGUAUUGCGAAUAGAUCAAGAAGUUUGACAUAAGACUAAUCUUAUUCAUAUCGAAAGCAUAACGUCGGCGUUAAGUUUUUAUUU